CCUACGGGAGGCAGCAGUGGGGAAUAUUGGGCAAUGGGCGCAAGCCUGACCCAGCAACGCCGCGUGAAGGAAGAAGGCUUUCGGGUUGUAAACUUCUUUUAAGAGGGAAGAGUAGAAGACGGUACCUCUUGAAUAAGCCACGGCUAACUACGUGCCAGCAGCCGCGGUAAUACGUCGGUGGCAAGCGUUGUCCGGAUUUACUGGGUGUAAAGGGCGUGCAGCCGGGAAGACAAGUCAGAUUUGAAAUCCCGCGGCUCAACCGGGGAACUGCAUUUGCAACUGUUUUUCUUGAGUACCGGAGAGGUCAGCGGAAUGCGUUGUGUAGCGGUGAAAUGCGUAGAUAUAAGGAAGAACACCGGUGGCGAAGGCAGAUGACUGGACGGCAACUGACGGUGAGGCGCGAAAGCGUGGGGAGCAAACAGGAUUAGAUACCCCAGUAGUC
RNAcentral lists this ribosomal RNA (442 nucleotides) under uncultured bacterium. Its description in RNAcentral is "partial 16S ribosomal RNA". It matches the Rfam family "Bacterial small subunit ribosomal RNA", at positions 338 to 795 of the family's 1533-position model. The record is from RNAcentral.